This 479-nucleotide ribosomal RNA is filed under the name Ectatoderus sp. FGu. Its description in RNAcentral is "eukaryotic LSU rRNA". It matches the Rfam family "Eukaryotic large subunit ribosomal RNA", at positions 1474 to 1922 of the family's 3401-position model. The record is from RNAcentral. Lineage: Eukaryota; Metazoa; Arthropoda; Insecta; Orthoptera; Mogoplistidae.
AGCGAGACCCUUGAGGACUGACGCGGAGAAGGGUUUCGUGUGAACAGCUGUUGCACACGAGUCAGUCGAUCCUAAGCUCUAAGAGAAAUCAGAUGAAUGCGGGCCGGCGGUCCGCGAGCGAAAGGGAAUCCGGUUCCUAUUCCGGAACCCGGUAGCGGAACCGACUCACGUAGGGCCCCCCGGAGGGAAGCUCAUGUGGUAACACAAACGAACCCGGAGAAGCCGGCGGGAGGUCGGGGAAGAGUUUUCUUUUCUGUAUAAGCGUUCGAGUUCCCUGGAAUUCUCUAGCAGAGAGAUAGGGUUUGGAACGCGAAGAGCACCGCAGUUGCGGCGGUGUCCCGAUCGUCCCCUCGGACCGUGAAAAUCCGGGGGAGGGCUACGUGGAGUUUCGCGCCGGUUCGUACCCAUAUCCGCAGCAGGUCUCCAAGGUGAAGAGCCUCUAGUCGAUAGAAUAAUGUAGGUAAGGGAAGUCGGCAAAU